This 454-nucleotide ribosomal RNA is filed under the name Entrophospora claroidea. RNAcentral's name for it is "partial large subunit ribosomal RNA". It matches the Rfam family "Eukaryotic large subunit ribosomal RNA", at positions 358 to 668 of the family's 3401-position model. Lineage: Eukaryota; Fungi; Glomeromycota; Glomeromycetes; Entrophosporales; Entrophosporaceae. The record is from RNAcentral.
GGAAAGAUGAAAAGAACUUUGAAAAGAGAGUUAAACAGUACGUGAAAUUGUUGAAAGGGAAACGAUUGAAGUCAGUCGUGCUGGCGCGAAAUCAACCCUCUCGUCGAGAGGACACAUGGCGUGGCGAGCCUCAAAACCGUCACGAAGCGUGAACUCUUGGCGAAAAGGAGCACUUUCGUGUCCGCUGGUUAACAUCAAUUUCGAACGUCAUAAAAAGGCUGGAGGGAUGUGGCUCCUUCGGGAGUGUUAUAACCUUUAGCGGAAUGUGGUGGUCGGGAUUGAGGAUUGCAACGAAUACCUUUAGGGCUGUUCCACCUGGCUUCUCUUUGGUAUCCUGGUGACGACAGCUUGCUGACGUUGUUAGGAUUCGCCUUUGAACAGGCUAGAGUGUGAGCAAAUUCGUUAAGGAUGUUAACGUAAUGGCUUUAAACGACCCGUCUUGAAACACGGACCA